RNAcentral lists this ribosomal RNA (252 nucleotides) under uncultured bacterium. RNAcentral's name for it is "partial 16S ribosomal RNA". It matches the Rfam family "Bacterial small subunit ribosomal RNA", at positions 524 to 776 of the family's 1533-position model. The record is from RNAcentral.
UACGUAGGGUGCGAGCGUUGUCCGGAAUUAUUGGCGUAAAGAGCUCGUAGGCGGUUUGUCGCGUCUGCCGUGAAAGUCCGGGGCUCAACUCCGGAUCUGCGGUGGGUACGGGCAGACUAGAGUGAUGUAGGGGAGACUGGAAUUCCUGGUGUAGCGGUGAAAUGCGCAGAUAUCAGGAGGAACACCGAUGGCGAAGGCAGGUCUCUGGGCAUUAACUGACGCUGAGGAGCGAAAGCAUGGGGAGCGAACAGG